Molecule: long non-coding RNA, 653 nt
Organism: Stylophora pistillata
Lineage: Eukaryota; Metazoa; Cnidaria; Anthozoa; Scleractinia; Pocilloporidae
Source: RefSeq, a predicted model, not a curated record
UAUAAUCGACAAAGCUAAGAGGGUGAUCAAAGAGUCUGACGAUAUUUUCAAGUAUAUCGUCAUCGACAAGAAGCGGAAAUGUUUAACACCACUGGCAAGUUUGUUGCUUUCAAAGUAUUCCUUGUAUUACUGCUGGCGACUUCAACCUCAUACAGUAAGCCACAGCUGCGGCGAGAUAAAGCUGCUGAGCUAGGACGUUACAUGUGGGACGAAAAUGAAGAUUACAUUUCUUACAAGUUCCCUAGUGGGAUCAAGGAUGCCCAGGAUAGCGUUGAGCACUUGCCGCACUCGGAUCCCACAUGCCAACCAAAUUGUCAAUUCUUAACAACAAUUAUGAAUAAGUUCUCAAACAAUUCAGUGAGAACUCAAAUUUGUAAUACAGUGGGCCAGGGGUGUAAGUGUUACACCAAAGGGUUCGGAAAAAACUGCCUAAGAUGUAUACGCAAAGGACGAAAAAGAAAUUCAUAUCUAUUUUAAGGAACAAGAAACACUGGCGUUUAAGAGGGAUAUUUUAGAAUGUUUACUGUAAUUUCAAAUAGUUGUUAAAUUUGAACAAUAGGCUUAACUCCCCAGUCUGAAGCUAAAUGCUUUUUAUGAACAUACUACGAUUGAGAAAAUUUCAUUAAAGACGACAAAAAUAAAACUGAGUGAAA